CCCUUAGAUGUUCUGGGCCGCACGCGCGCUACACUGAUGCAUUCAACGAGCCUAGCCUUGACCGAGAGGUCCGGGUAAUCUUUGAAACUGCAUCGUGAUGGGGCUAGAUUAUUGCAGUUAUUAAUCUUCAACGAGGAAUGCCUAGUAAGCGUGAUUCAUCAAAUCGCGUUGAUUACGUCCCUGCCCUUUGUACACACCGCCCGUCGCUCCUACCGAUUGAGUGUGUUGGUGAGGAGUUCGGAUUGGCUCUUAGUGGUGGUUCGCCACCACCUAGAGCUGAGAAGUUCUCCAAACCGCCCCACUUAGAGGAAGGAGAAGUCGUAACA
This 326-nucleotide ribosomal RNA is filed under the name uncultured eukaryote. RNAcentral's name for it is "partial 18S ribosomal RNA". It matches the Rfam family "Eukaryotic small subunit ribosomal RNA", at positions 1470 to 1796 of the family's 1831-position model. The record is from RNAcentral.